Parelaphostrongylus tenuis is the source of this 71-nucleotide non-coding RNA. Lineage: Eukaryota; Metazoa; Nematoda; Chromadorea; Rhabditida; Metastrongylidae. The record is from the annotation of a GenBank genome assembly.
GCCUCGAUGGUUCAGUGGAAUUAUGCAUUCCUCGUAAGGGUGGAACGCGGGUUCAACUCCCGGCUGAGGCG